Electrophorus electricus (electric eel) is the source of this 348-nucleotide long non-coding RNA. Lineage: Eukaryota; Metazoa; Chordata; Actinopteri; Gymnotiformes; Gymnotidae. The record is from Ensembl.
CAGGAUGGAGCCGUCUGUCACCUGCAGCUACGCUGUACUUGAGAUCACCAGCCAAACCCCCCACAACCUGCUGCAGGCGAUGGUGGACCACAUGGAGCAGACGUUUAAAUACGCAGCCUGGGAGAUGUCCAGCCUGGACUUGGACGAAGAGGAGGAGGACGCCAAGGUGCUGGCCAAGCUGGGCAAAGAGGAAGAGGAAGGAGAUGAUGAAGAGGCGCAGGAGGCAGAGGAGGGAAGCAGCACUAACAGAUGGUUUGGGGACACUCAGCUUUUCUGCCCAGUGGUGCUGAGAGAGAGGGGAAUUCUGGCUCCCUGCACCCAUGACUUUACAGCCAAGUACAGGGAGAG